This is a long non-coding RNA of Pelobates fuscus (common spadefoot toad), 962 nucleotides long. RefSeq lists it as uncharacterized. The transcript is spliced from 2 exons. The record is from RefSeq and is a predicted model, not a curated record. NCBI's taxonomy places the organism in Eukaryota, Metazoa, Chordata, Amphibia, Anura, Pelobatidae.
CGUACCUGGAUGGGGAAUAGCACUCCUGGUUUUGGUCAGUCUGGUUCUGCUCUUGAUUUUGUGCAGUUUCUGCUGUUUGCCAUUUAUCUGUAAGAAGAGCUCAGAUUCCUGCCAAAGUGGCUUCUCCAUUGGGAAGUAAUGUCAUGGAGUCCGUAAUCCUGUUUACUAGAAGUGAAAUUUGCAAUUUAUUCAGUCUCCAUCACCCACAAUCUAUUACUUACUCUGAGUUUGCAAUGCAUUGUGGUACCAUCAGCCAGAAUGUUUUAGUUAUACUCGGGUUGCAAUGCAUUGUGGUCCCAUUACCCACACUCUAUUACUUACUCUGAGUUUGCAAUGCAUUGUGGUCCCAUCACCCACAAUCUAUUACUUACUCUGAGUUUGCAAUGCAUUGUGGUACCAUCAGCCAGAAUGUUUUAGUUACACUCGGGUUGCAAUGCUUGCUGGUCCCCUUAGCUACAAUAUAUGAAUGAUUCUUAGAUUACAAUGCUUUCUGGUCCAAUUAGCCAUUGUUUUUUAAUUAUUCUUAAUUUGCAAUGCAUGCUGGUCCUAUUCACAACAAUCUAUUAGUGAUAUUGAGAUUGCAAUGCACUCUCUCCGAGAGUCCAAUUUAUAACUUGACUUGACUUGGCCACAUGUUUUCCAAUUCUAGUAACAUUAUACAAUACACAUUCCUUGGGGGGAACACAUUGUGGCCCCAUUUACCAUUAUCUUGUACCAGUUUAGGAUUUGAAAUACAUAUUGGAUUCUUUCACUCCAACUGUUUCUAUAUGUUGGUCCUUUUAUCCUUUACUUCGCUUUCCGCUUGUUAUAUUGUUACAUCAAUUUAAUUUUAUUAUAAAGAGCGUUUACAGUAAAAUAUAUUUCAACUCAGGAAUGUGAACUGCAAAAUAGGUGAUAUCCUGAGAAAUGUAUUCUAAAAUCUGUGUAAAAUAUAACUUAUUAAAAUAUAUUUUAAAUAAUUA